RNAcentral lists this ribosomal RNA (496 nucleotides) under uncultured bacterium. RNAcentral describes it as "partial 16S ribosomal RNA". It matches the Rfam family "Bacterial small subunit ribosomal RNA", at positions 29 to 507 of the family's 1533-position model. The record is from RNAcentral.
AUGAACGCUGGCGGCGUGCCUAAUACAUGCAAGUCGCGCGAACGGACGAGAAGCUUGCUUCUCUGAUGUUAGCGGCGGACGGGUGAGUAACACGUGGAUAACCUACCUAUAAGACUGGGAUAACUUCGGGAAACCGGAGCUAAUACCGGAUGAUAUUUUGAACCGCAUGGUUCAAAAGUGAAAGACGGUCUUGCUGUCACUUAUAGAUGGAUCCGCGCUGCAUUAGCUAGUUGGUAAGGUAACGGCUUACCAAGGCAACGAUGCAUAGCCGACCUGAGAGGGUGAUCGGCCACACUGGAACUGAGGCACGGUCCAGACUCCUACGGGAGGCAGCAGUAGGGAAUCUUCCGCAAUGGGCGAAAGCCUGACGGAGCAACGCCGCGUGAGUGAUGAAGGUCUUCGGAUCGUAAAACUCUGUUAUUAGGGAAGAACAUAUGUGUAAGUAACUGUGCACAUCUUGACGGUACCUAAUCAGAAAGCCACGGCUAACUACGUG